GUUGAAACACCGGUCCUAGUACGAUCACCGAAGUUAAGCAACGUCGAGCCUGGUCAGUACAUAGACCAGUGAUCUCUUAGGAAUAUCAGGUGCUGUAAG
Acanthosepion pharaonis is the source of this 99-nucleotide non-coding RNA. NCBI's taxonomy places the organism in Eukaryota, Metazoa, Mollusca, Cephalopoda, Sepiida, Sepiidae. The record is from the annotation of a GenBank genome assembly.